GCCGAAGUGGUGGAACUGGUAGACACGCUGUCUUGAGGGGGCAGUGGCUAUUUGGCUGUGUCGGUUCGAGUCCGACCUUCGGCA
Molecule: transfer RNA, 84 nt
Filed under: Legionellales bacterium
Lineage: Bacteria; Pseudomonadati; Pseudomonadota; Gammaproteobacteria; Legionellales
Description: tRNA-Leu
Rfam family: tRNA
About the family: Transfer RNA (tRNA) molecules are approximately 80 nucleotides in length. Their secondary structure includes four short double-helical elements and three loops (D, anti-codon, and T loops).
Source: RNAcentral